Aspergillus tanneri is the source of this 122-nucleotide non-coding RNA. The record is from the annotation of a RefSeq genome assembly. NCBI's taxonomy places the organism in Eukaryota, Fungi, Ascomycota, Eurotiomycetes, Eurotiales, Aspergillaceae.
GGUCGUAUGGGGUAGUGGUUAUCCCUCCGGAUUGUAUGUUUCAGAUUUCCUUUUCACAGAUCUUAAGCUAAUAUAUUACGCAGUUGAUUCCGGCAACCCCGGUUCGAUCCCGGGUACGACCU